GGGCCCGUAGCUUAGUCUGGUGGAGUGUCCGACUGAUAAUCGGAUGGUCCGGAGUUCAAAUCUCCGCGGGCCCA
Molecule: non-coding RNA, 74 nt
Organism: Candidatus Woesearchaeota archaeon CG1_02_57_44
Lineage: Archaea; Nanobdellati; Candidatus Woesearchaeota
Source: Rfam